CACAGAGCAGCUGAGAAUGGCACUCCUCUCCUGCCUGUUGGCUUACAAGCAGUAUGGCAGUUCCCUGAAUGUUCUAGAUACUCCCAGCAAUGUCAUGGGACUCAGGCACCACUCCCAAGGAUAGUUGAUGGCACAGCCUACGGGACUCUGCUCGUAGACUUCUGUGGAUUGGGUAAGUGGCUACCAUAAUGGCAAUGCCAGCUUGAUCUUGACCAAAGGAACUUUC
RNAcentral lists this long non-coding RNA (226 nucleotides) under Cricetulus griseus (Chinese hamster). Its description in RNAcentral is "lncRNA (ENSCGRG00000026093.1)". Lineage: Eukaryota; Metazoa; Chordata; Mammalia; Rodentia; Cricetidae. The record is from RNAcentral.